AACGAACGCUGGCGGCAUGCCUAACACAGGCAAGUCGAACGAAGCCUUCGGGCUUAGUGGCGCACGGGUGCGUAACGCGGGGGAAUCUGCCCCUUGCUUCGGAAUAACAGUUAGAAAUGACUGCUAAUACCGGAUGAAGUCUUCGGACCAAAGAUUUAUCGGCAAGGGAUGAGCCCGCGUAGGAUUAGGUAGUUGGUGGGGUAAAGGCCUACCAAGCCGACGAUCCUUAGCUGGUCUGAGAGGAUGAUCAGCCACACUGGGACUGAGACACGGCCCAGACUCCUACGGGAGGCAGCAGUGGGGAAUAUUGGACAAUGGACGCAAGUCUGAUCCAGCAAUGCCGCGUGAGUGAUGAAGGCCUUAGGGUUGUAAAGCUCUUUUACCAGGGAUGAUAAUGACAGUACCUGGAGAAUAAGCUCCGGCUAACUCCGUG
Molecule: ribosomal RNA, 433 nt
Filed under: uncultured bacterium
Lineage: Bacteria
Description: partial 16S ribosomal RNA
Rfam family: Bacterial small subunit ribosomal RNA
Source: RNAcentral